Molecule: ribosomal RNA, 492 nt
Filed under: uncultured bacterium
Lineage: Bacteria
Description: partial 16S ribosomal RNA
Rfam family: Bacterial small subunit ribosomal RNA
Source: RNAcentral
AGUGAACGCUGGCGGUAGGCCUAACACAUGCAAGUCGAACGGCAGCACAGUAAGAGCUUGCUCUUACGGGUGGCGAGUGGCGGACGGGUGAGGAAUACAUCGGCAUCUACUUUUUCGUGGGGGAUAACGAAGGGAAACUUACGCUAAUACCGCAUACGACCUACGGGUGAAAGCAGGGGAUCUUCGGACCUUUCGCGAUUGAAUGAGCCGAUGUCGGAUUAGCUAGUUGGCGGGGUAAAGGCCCACCAAGGCGACGAUCCGUAGCUGGACUGAGAGGAUGAUCGGCCACACUGGAACGGAGACACGGUCCAGAGUCCUGCGGGAGGCAGCAGUGGGGAAUAUUGGACAAUGGGCGCAAGCCUGGUCCAGCCAUCCCGCGUGGGUGAAGGAGGCCUUCGGGUUGUAAAGCCCUUUUGUUGGGAAAGAAAAGCAGCAGGUUAAUACCCCGCUGUUCUGACGGUACCCAAAGAAUAAGCACCGGCUAACUUCGUG